AGCAAAUAGAUACCCUGGUAGUCCACGCCCUAAACGAUGGAUACCUAGGCGUAAGAGGUAUCGACCCCUCUUGUGCCGCAGCUAACGCACUAAGUAUCCCGCCUGGGGAGUACGGCCGCAAGGUUGAAACUCAAAUGAAUUGACGGGGGACCCGCACAAGCGGUGGAGCAUGUGGAUUAAUUCGAUACUAACCGAAGAACCUUACCCAGACUUGACAUCGAUCGCAAGCUCUAGAAAUAGGGCCCUCCCCCACAAGGGGACGUGAAGACACUUGUUGCAUGGCUGUCGUCAGCUCGUGCCGUGAGUGUACGGUUAAGUCCGCCAACGAGCGCAACCCUCGUCCUGUGUUACCAGCAUGAAAGAUGGGAACUCACAGGAGACCGCCGGUGUAAGCCGGAGGAAGGUGGGGAUGACGUCAAGUCAGCAUGGCAGUUACGUCUGGGGCUUCACACAUGCUACAAUGGGCGAAACAAAGGGCCGCGAUACCGUGAGUGGAGCCAAUCCCAAAAAUACGCCCCAGUUCAGAUUGCAGUCU
Molecule: ribosomal RNA, 535 nt
Filed under: uncultured bacterium
Lineage: Bacteria
Description: bacterial SSU rRNA
Rfam family: Bacterial small subunit ribosomal RNA
Source: RNAcentral